Non-coding RNA from Pelobates cultripes (western spadefoot toad), 311 nucleotides. NCBI's taxonomy places the organism in Eukaryota, Metazoa, Chordata, Amphibia, Anura, Pelobatidae. The record is from the annotation of a GenBank genome assembly.
UCUAUAAUCCCAAAUUUAGAAGGACACUUAAAGCUGGAGGUCAUGGUUUAUGCAUUAUACAGAGAUGCAUUAAAAUGUUACAUAGAACAGAUUCAGACUUGAAUUUCCUGCAAACACUGUACAGACCAGGGAGUAACACAACCAACCAUUUUGCUCUAUUAAUAUUGCAAUGUAAAAUCUGUUCUAGUAAACUUCAGCACACUAGUUCUUUCCAGUAAUCUCUUAACAUUGUACUAAAUUUUCUACAAGAGAUCUAAAUAUUGGGCACCUAGAUGACACCUGCCAGAAUUCCUUGCUGUGCAAAGCUAUAC